CCUACGGGGGACUGCAGUGGGGAAUAUUGCACAAUGGGCGAAAGCCUGAUGCAGCAACGCCGCGUGAAGGAAGAAGGGUUUCGGCUCGUAAACUUCUAUCGACAGGGACGAAAGAAAUGACGGUACCUGAAUAAGAAGCCCCGGCUAACUACGUGCCAGCCGCCGCGGUAAUCCGUCGGGGGCAAGCGUUCUCCGGAAUUACUGGGUGUAAAGGGUGAGUAGGCGGCAUGGUAAGCCAGAUGUGAAAGCCUUGGGCUUAACCCGAGGAUUGCAUUUGGAACUAUCAAGCUAGAGGACAGGAGAGGAAAGCGGAAGUCGGAGGGUAGCGGUGAAAUGCGUAGAGAUUAGGAAGAACACCAGUGGCGAAGGCGGCUUUCUGGACUGAAACUGACGCUGAGGCACGAAAGCGUGGGGAGCGAACAGGAUUAGAUACCCUUGUAGUC
This 443-nucleotide ribosomal RNA is filed under the name uncultured bacterium. RNAcentral's name for it is "partial 16S ribosomal RNA". It matches the Rfam family "Bacterial small subunit ribosomal RNA", at positions 338 to 795 of the family's 1533-position model. The record is from RNAcentral.